Cucumis sativus (cucumber) is the source of this 895-nucleotide RNA transcript. RefSeq lists it as uncharacterized. The transcript is spliced from 4 exons. NCBI's taxonomy places the organism in Eukaryota, Viridiplantae, Streptophyta, Magnoliopsida, Cucurbitales, Cucurbitaceae. The record is from RefSeq and is a predicted model, not a curated record.
AGGAAAAAAGAAUCUCUCUUAUCUCCUUUUCUUUUCUUUCAGACUUCGCGCCAUCCACCGCCGGUGGUCUCUUUCACUAGAGAUGAUACCGAGGCAAUUGCGAACAAUCUUCACCGGCGCCGCCGUCAUCCUCGGCGGAAUUUGCACUCUCAACUUGGCUUCUUUUCUCACUAUUCAAACCCUUCGUGUUACUGCUGAAGCCAAACGGAGAAAGAUUGGUUUGCCCUGUAAAGCUUGUAGAGGAAAAGGAUUCUAUAUGUGCAAAUUAUGCAGAGGAAAUGCUGUCAUUCAGUGGUCGCCAUUGUCUGAUCCUAUUGCCAUGAACCCCUGUGUGUGCCCUACUUGUGAGGGAAACAGGGUACAACGUUGCCUAAAUUGCCUAGGUAAAGGAUAUGAAGUAUGAUUGAACUAUGACAUUGGCAACAAGUGUGAUUUAGCCUAUAUGUUUCUCAGAAAAACACCAAUAGGUUAGUUGUGAGAGUACUGCAAACAUCAGUGAACAUGUCAACAGGAGACGACCAGUUUGACUCGAAACACACCAACUAAAUUGCCCUCUCUAACACCAUUCCAGGUAUAAAUUCCAUCAGAAAUCAGCCAAAAGCCGUUAAGCAUAUAUUUUGGCAGAACAUCCACACCUUGUUUGCUUCGUAAGUGUUAAUAUUACUAUUUUGUUUGUUUUUAAUUUGUUCUGUGGGUAAAAUAUAUGUCUGACAAACUAGAAACAUGUGAUGGAAGGGAAGGUUGGUUGUUUUUUGUUGUUUUGUAGAAAGAAAGAAGGUAGGUUGUUGAAGGUAGGAAAGCAUGAAAAAUGAUCUGUCUAUUACAUUGAAACCAAAAUCUGGAGAUUGGUGGAACACUUAAGAUAAUAAUAUUAAUUUUAAAAAGUUAAGUACUC